GUCCUACGGGGCGCAGCAGUGGGGAAUAUUGCACAAUGGGGGAAACCCUGAUGCAGCGACGCCGCGUGAAGGAAGAAGUAUUUCGGUAUGUAAACUUCUAUCAGCAGGGAAGAAAAUGACGGUACCUGACUAAGAAGCCCCGGCUAACUACGUGCCAGCAGCCGCGGUAAUACGUAGGGGGCAAGCGUUAUCCGGAUUUACUGGGUGUAAAGGGAGCGUAGACGGCAGUGCAAGUCCGGAGUGAAAGCCCGGGGCUCAACCCUGGGACUGCUCUGGAAACUGUAAAGCUGGAGUGCGGGAGGGGG
RNAcentral lists this ribosomal RNA (305 nucleotides) under uncultured bacterium. Its description in RNAcentral is "bacterial SSU rRNA". It matches the Rfam family "Bacterial small subunit ribosomal RNA", at positions 335 to 658 of the family's 1533-position model. The record is from RNAcentral.